CAGCCAUAUCACGUUGAAACACCGGUUCUCAUACGAUCACUGAAGUCAAGCAACAUCGAGCUUGGUCAGUAUCUAGAUGGGUGACCUCUUAGGAAUACUAGGUGCAGUA
This is a non-coding RNA of Acanthosepion pharaonis, 109 nucleotides long. The record is from the annotation of a GenBank genome assembly. Lineage: Eukaryota; Metazoa; Mollusca; Cephalopoda; Sepiida; Sepiidae.